GCGGCUAAACCAGCUCGUUUUAUCCAGAAUUUGAUUUUGUUUGGUGUUCGGCGUUCGUGAUGUUCGGGUCCGCGAUGGCCCAGCUCAGCCCAGCCUCCACUGAGUAGCAUUACAAGCGGCCAAUCAACGGUUACGAACAAUCUUGUCCAUCUCAACCACACCCUCGCCGUUAAUAUACCAUCUCGACGGGUCAUCUUUCAGCGCAUUGGUGCCGGCGUUGUAGAUUAUCCAAUUUGGUCUCGAAAACUCAUAGAAACGACAGUGCCAGAUCGAUUCUCAACAAUGUUCUAAACUUCCGCAAAUGCUACUUAUCUCCCAGGAGGAGCUUCAGCUCAAUCGCUCUCUUGAUCACCAGCUUUGCCUUGUGAUUCCUUGGAUAGGUAUCAGAUGUAGAUAACCAUUUUAAGCACUCCACCGUUAUCUAUCAAACCCGUAGUAUACUCAGGAUACCUGUUGUUCUGGUGGGGAUUCAAAUUCUGCUUUUUUCAGCCACUGGACUGAAAAAUUGUAUGGAUGUGAAUCGAUGAAUUUAUGAUCGUUGAAAAUGACUUAAAUAUAUGAAUGCUAAUGAAUCCAAUCUU
Long non-coding RNA from Aedes aegypti (yellow fever mosquito), 581 nucleotides. RefSeq lists it as uncharacterized. Lineage: Eukaryota; Metazoa; Arthropoda; Insecta; Diptera; Culicidae. The transcript is spliced from 2 exons. The record is from RefSeq and is a predicted model, not a curated record.